CACCAGCUUCACGAGUGGGAAUCGGUUUUAUUGGGCUUAAAGCGUCCGUAGCAGGUUUGGUAAAUUACUUGUGAAAUCGCAGAGCUUAACUCUGCGGAUUGCUUGUAAGACUGCCAGACUAGAGACCGGGAGACGUUAGAGGUAUUCAGGGGGGAGCGGUAAAAUGCGAGAAUCCUCUGAGGACCACCUGCGGCGAAGGCGUCUAACAAUAACGGGUCUGACUGUGAGGGUCGAAAUCUAGGGGAUCAAAUCG
Molecule: ribosomal RNA, 253 nt
Filed under: uncultured archaeon
Lineage: Archaea
Description: partial 16S ribosomal RNA
Rfam family: Archaeal small subunit ribosomal RNA
Source: RNAcentral